GUGAGGAAUAUUGGUCAAUGGGCGAUAGCCUGAACCAGCCAAGUAGCGUGAGGGAUGACGGCCCUAUGGGUUGUAAACCUCUUUUAAACGGGGAUAAAGUGCGCCACGUGUGGUUCAUUGCAGGUACCGUUUGAAUAAGGACCGGCUAAUUCCGUGCCAGCAGCCGCGGUAAUACGGAAGGUCCGGGCGUUAUCCGGAUUUACUGGGCGUAAAGCGCACGUAGGCGGACGGGUAAGUUGGCCGUGAAAGCUCCUGGCUUAACUGGGAGAGGUCGGACAAAACUGCCAGACUUGAGGCUGAGAGAGGAGAGCGGAAUUCCCGGUGUAGUGGUGGAAUGCGUAGAUAUCGGGAGGAACACCAGUGGCGAAGGCGGCUCUCUGGCUCAGAACUGACGCUGAGGUGCGAAAGCGUGGGGAGCGAACGGGAUUAGAAACCCCGGUAGUCC
RNAcentral lists this ribosomal RNA (445 nucleotides) under uncultured bacterium. RNAcentral describes it as "partial 16S ribosomal RNA". It matches the Rfam family "Bacterial small subunit ribosomal RNA", at positions 354 to 796 of the family's 1533-position model. The record is from RNAcentral.